UGUGUGAUCCUGCCAAACUUUGCCAACCUGUGUCUCAAUGAGCGAAAGAGGAUGAUAAAGGAAAUUAUCUUGUUCACAUAUUUGACAUCUGCAGACUAUAUAUUCAGACCUAAUAGGGUUUUGAAGCCCCUUUCAUUUUAUAGACGUGGGAACUGAAAUCUCAAGAGAGCUAUCAGACUAACAAUGCAUGUUUGAAAAUCCUAAGUGAAGAGAAGGCAUGACUAUGAACUCAACUACAGACAAUUGUGUUUUCUUCUCUGGAUCUUCAGCACUGGCAGAUACUCAGCAAAUGCGCAUGGAUGGACCUUGAAGACAUGUGAAAUAAGUCAUACAGAGAAAGAUAAAUACCAUAUGAUCUCACUUUUAUAUGGAAUCUAAAAAAACAAACAACAACAACAACAACAACAACAAAACAAGCUCAUAGAUACAGAGAUUAGAUUUGUGGUUACCAGAGGCAGAGAGGGUGGAAGGUGGAUGAAAUGGGUGAAGGAGAUCAAAAGGUACAAACUUCCAGUUAUA
Molecule: long non-coding RNA, 519 nt
Organism: Neofelis nebulosa (Clouded leopard)
Lineage: Eukaryota; Metazoa; Chordata; Mammalia; Carnivora; Felidae
Exons: 3
Source: RefSeq, a predicted model, not a curated record